Molecule: ribosomal RNA, 468 nt
Filed under: uncultured bacterium
Lineage: Bacteria
Description: partial 16S ribosomal RNA
Rfam family: Bacterial small subunit ribosomal RNA
Source: RNAcentral
GACGAACGCUGGCGGCGUGCUUAACACAUGCAAGUCGAACGGAAAGGCCCUGCUCUUGUGGGGUGCUCGAGUGCCGAACGGGUGAGUAACACGUGAGUAACCUGCCCUUGACUUUGGGAUAACUUCAGGAAACUGGGGCGAAUAUCGGAUAGGAGCUCCUGCUGCAUGGUGGGGGUUGGAAAGUUUCGGCGGUUGGGGAUGGACUCGCGGCUUAUCAGCUUGUUGGUGGGGUAGUGGCUUACCAAGGGUUUGACGGGUAGCCGGCCUGAGAGGGUGACCGGCCACAUUGGGACUGAGAGACGGCCCAGACGCCUACGGGAGGCAGCAGGGGAAAGUAUUGCAGAGUGGGCGGAAGCCAGAGGCAGCAGCGCCGCGUGCGGGAUGACGGCCUUCGAGUUGUAAACCGCUUUCGCCUGAGACGAAGAGUGAGUGACGGUAAUGGAUAAGGAAGCACCGGCUAACUACGUG